AUUCUGCCCAUGCGGGGAAGGAUGAGAAGCUUCGACUAAGGUUCUGCUCGAGCGUCAGCGAGAGAGCGUUGCCGCAGGCAACGACCCGAAGGGCGAAGCGCGCAGCGCUGAGUAAUCCUUCCCCCACCACCA
Molecule: small RNA, 132 nt
Filed under: Escherichia coli
Lineage: Bacteria; Pseudomonadati; Pseudomonadota; Gammaproteobacteria; Enterobacterales; Enterobacteriaceae
Description: RtT sRNA
Rfam family: RtT RNA
About the family: This family represents a bacterial cis-regulatory element known as RtT RNA. The exact function of RtT is unknown although it is thought that it may be involved in changing the cellular response in relation to amino acid starvation.
Source: RNAcentral